This 199-nucleotide unclassified non-coding RNA is filed under the name uncultured fungus. RNAcentral describes it as "sequence contains ITS1". The record is from RNAcentral. Lineage: Eukaryota; Fungi.
UUAACUAUUAGAUAGUACUCAGACGACACUAACAUUCAGAGUUUGGGGUCCUCUGGCGGGCGCUUACCAGCCGGAGCCGGUAGCCUGGCCGAAGCCUGACGGCCCGCCAAAGCAACAAGGUGAUAUAACAUAGGGUGGGAGAUCUACCCGUAAGGGCAUGAACUCGGUAAUGAUCCCUCCGCAGGUUCACCUACGGAGA